AACGAACGCUGGCGGCAUGCCUAACACAUGCAAGUCGAACGAGACCUUCGGGUCUAGUGGCGCACGGGUGCGUAACGCGUGGGAACCUGCCCUUAGGUUCGGAAUAACUCCCCGAAAGGGGUGCUAAUACCGGAUAAUUUCUUCGGACCAAAGAUUUAUCGCCUUUGGAUGGUCCCGCGUUGGAUUAGCUAGUUGGUAGGGUAAGAGCCUACCAAGGCGACGAUCCAUAGCUGGUCUGAGAGGAUGAUCAGCCACACUGGGACUGCGACACGGCCCAGACUCCUACGGGAGGCAGCAGUGGGGAAUAUUGGACAAUGGGCGAAAGCCUGAUACAGCAAUGCCGCGUGAGUGAUGAAGGACUUAGGGUUGUAAAGCUCUUUUAACCGGGAUGAUAAUGACAGUACCGGGAGAAUAAGCGCCGGCUAACUCCGUG
This 433-nucleotide ribosomal RNA is filed under the name uncultured bacterium. Its description in RNAcentral is "partial 16S ribosomal RNA". It matches the Rfam family "Bacterial small subunit ribosomal RNA", at positions 29 to 507 of the family's 1533-position model. The record is from RNAcentral.